GUUCUUAUCACCUGGGGAUCUUGUUAAAAAUACAGGUUCUGAUUUAAUAGUACAGGAAAGAAUCCAGGAUUCCUCAUUUCUAACCAGCUCCUGGUGAUGCCAAC
This 104-nucleotide microRNA precursor is filed under the name Marmota monax (woodchuck). Lineage: Eukaryota; Metazoa; Chordata; Mammalia; Rodentia; Sciuridae. The record is from RNAcentral.